RNAcentral lists this long non-coding RNA (2275 nucleotides) under Daucus carota (carrot). Its description in RNAcentral is "long non-coding RNA (DCAR_LNC002554)". The record is from RNAcentral. Lineage: Eukaryota; Viridiplantae; Streptophyta; Magnoliopsida; Apiales; Apiaceae.
CGCAUAAUAAAUAUAAAACUAAAUUAAUUAAUUUACAAAAAAACAAAAAAGACUUAUCUUGAUUUAUUUUUUUUAUCCGAGCUGCUCCAUUUAGGAUUCCAGAUUCACCAUUAUUAAAAUGAUGGCCUUCUCCUUUUUCCUGCGCAGGCUCUCUUUGUACAAUUUGCUGGCCGGAGCUAGCUGUUCUUAACCAAAUUGGUCGAAUUUACUUUGCAUGGCCUGGACAGAAUUUUUUGCACACUGUGCUGAUAUAAUCUUCUCCACCUUCGAUCACGUAGGAAUNACAUAACAAAACAUGCCGCAUAAUAAAUAUAAAACUAAAUUAAUUAAUUUACAAAAAAACAAAAAAGACUUAUCUUGAUUUAUUUUUUUUAUCCGAGCUGCUCCAUUUAGGAUUCCAGAUUCACCAUUAUUAAAAUGAUGGCCUUCUCCUUUUUCCUGCGCAGGCUCUCUUUGUACAAUUUGCUGGCCAAUUCAUUACGAACACUCCGGAGCUAGCUGUUCUUAACCAAAUUGGUCGAAUUUACUUUGCAUGGCCUGGACAGAAAUUUUUGCACACUGUGCUGAUAUAAUCUUCUCCACCUUUGAUCACGUAGGAACAUUUUGUCACCUCAUAAAUUAAUUGCUCCGUUAUCUUCCUCCACAAUUCACCAAGCCUUAUAUUUUGCAAACCAGUAUAGAAUUUCUUGGUGCUGCCCUUCUCUUCAUGUUGUGGUUCCACUUAAUCCUUCUUGUUCACAAACAAAUCCAAGCCAUCCAGCUGGGAUUUAUUUGCUCUUUGUUAGCUUUGUUUUGUACUGAGACUAAAGCUUUCCGAGCAAAACUAGAACAAUAGUCAUGCUUCUAGGUACCACCAGUCAUCUCGUGCUCGUGUCAUCCAUCUACUUCUUUGUAUAAGUCAUCUCGUGCUCGUGUCAUCCAUCUACUUUAAUUCUAUACACCUUGUUAUCGAAGCUCUCAAACCCAGCUAGCUAGCUAGUUCACGUCUUCAAUCAACCAGCCCUGUAUUUUUAUGACUUGUUAUCCCUAUCUUUACUUUUGCGUCGAAUAGACGUUGCUGUUUUGGCGUGUGUUUGCCAGGCUUCCAUCCAUGCGAGCCUUUGCUCUGAUUAUAAAAUCUCGACCCAUCUUCACGUUGCUACUUGAAAGCCUCAAACUUAUCUCCUAUAAUAUGCAGCUGGAACUCCAAAUUGGAAUGCUCUUCCUCAACCAUGUUCUUCACUUCUUUUUGUUUAGCGAUAUACCACUAGUUCUCCACGAUAGUCUCCUGUUACACCCGCCUCUGUCUUCUUGAGAAGCUGGAUUGCUAGCCAGGAGAAUCUUUGCAUUGCUUCAGAGUCAUCCUUCUUCACCAUAUACAGGCUCAGAGGCAGAACAGAUAUGCAUUUGUCCCUGUUUUGGCUUCUAGUUUUGUCAUUCAGCAAGUCCCACGUCAGAUAACUUGACUUCACGGCACCUCAUCUUCGUAUGCAAUAUAGUCCUUGAAUCUCCUCAUCCUGGGCUUUAAAACCAUAUAUCCUUCUUCUGCAAAGUUAUUUACACAACCGCACAUGUAUAUAGUAGCCGCUCAAAUAUAACAAUUUAUAUUAGAGAAAAGACUUAUCUCGAUGAUAUUCACUCCACUACUACUGUUAGUUCUUCCUUAUUUAAUCUGCAACUAUAUUAGUCCUGCUCCUGUCACCAAUCUCCAAGUCCAAAUAUCAUAUGAACCACACGUUUAAAUUAUAAAACUCAUAUUUAAUCGCAAUAAACAAAACAAAGGAGAAAAAGCUUAUCUUUAUUUUCGUAGGAGCCUUUGCAAUUCUCGAGUUUUAUAUUGAUUUUGAAAUCCAAGCUUCUGUGUCUGUCAUUAUCUUUCAGAAACUGAUUGCUUCUUAUAAUUCUCAGGCUUAACGUGGAUUCUACGUCUUACUGCUUUUCUUCUUUCUUUUCCCUGUUCUUUUGCCAAAUCAUUGAGUAACGUCUCUGGACCUAUUCUCACAUGUAUUUACUCCAUACAGACCUUCGCUCUGCUAUGGUUGCCGCUUGUAUGCCAUACACCGGUUGACUCUCUCUGAGACAAGACACACAUGUAUACACGUACUUGUAACACCCAGAUUUUAGUAUAGUUGUUGCCGGAAUCGAACAAGCUUCCUGGAUGGUAUGCAGACAUCUACAACACGAUGUUAAUGUUAGUGUGUAACCCAGUGACAAAGUUGACAUCAACAUAACCAUAAGGCCAUAACCCAUGAACAUGUGGUUUGUUCCAAUUUUCUUUUUAAGCCACUAUUUUUCC